RNAcentral lists this ribosomal RNA (253 nucleotides) under uncultured bacterium. RNAcentral's name for it is "partial 16S ribosomal RNA". It matches the Rfam family "Bacterial small subunit ribosomal RNA", at positions 524 to 776 of the family's 1533-position model. The record is from RNAcentral.
UACGUAGGGGGCAAGCGUUGUCCGGAAUUAUUGGGCGUAAAGCGCGCGCAGGCGGUUCUUUAAGUCUGAUGUGAAAGCCCACGGCUCAACCGUGGAGGGUCAUUGGAAACUGGGGAACUUGAGUGCAGAAGAGGAAAGUGGAAUUCCACGUGUAGCGGUGAAAUGCGUAGAGAUGUGGAGGAACACCAGUGGCGAAGGCGACUUGCUGGGCUGUAACUGACACUGAGGCGCGAAAGCGUGGGGAGCGAACAGG